UUUUAUCAUAAUUUUUAAAAGGAAGAAAGAAGAGGGGAGCUCAUCACCUGGCCGUUGCUCCAUCCUGCUGUCAGUCUGCUCAUCUGGACCUUGUCAUCAGGGGGAAAGAUCAUAACCGCCCUAGGGUCUUCCUCCCUUCUCCCUCCCACACACUCAUGCACACACACCUCUCUGUCUCCUUCGUCAGAGGGUCGAGAAGGACGGAAGGUCUCCAGCCAGCGUCUCUGGGGCCUGGCACCGAAAAACCCCAUGCAUGAGCAGGGCUGCCCUUGUCCUGGCUGUGAGAAGGGGCAGUGGUCAAGAGCCUGAGUCAGGAUCCUCUGAGAGAACACCCACCAGGCCCCCUGGAGCCCCAGGCUCGCUGAGAGGCAUGUGGGUGCUGGCAGCGUCCCUCAGGGACCCUGGCACAAUGGUGGAAGAGGAAGAAGCUUGGAGACUGGGGAAGUUGCAGUAGGUGGAACUUUGGGGUUGUCAUGGGAACCAAAGCUCUGAGGCUGAUCAAGGCAGGAAAUACCAUCUGGUUUUAAACACCAAAAGCCUCGACUCACACUGGACUUAUUUCUGUAAACAGCAGAAUUAACAUCAUCCUGUAGCAGUAACGUCAGCCCUGAGCAAUCUAGAGAUUGUCUUUCUGCUGAUUUCC
RNAcentral lists this long non-coding RNA (643 nucleotides) under Ursus maritimus (polar bear). RNAcentral describes it as "lncRNA (ENSUMAG00000012458.1)". The record is from RNAcentral. Lineage: Eukaryota; Metazoa; Chordata; Mammalia; Carnivora; Ursidae.